GAAUGCGAGAAAUGGUUGGUUUUGCAAAAGCUGAUUAGGGUUAAGGUGUAUGAACCCCGUGUUUU
Molecule: transfer RNA, 65 nt
Filed under: Echinococcus shiquicus
Lineage: Eukaryota; Metazoa; Platyhelminthes; Cestoda; Cyclophyllidea; Taeniidae
Description: tRNA-Cys
Source: RNAcentral